Molecule: ribosomal RNA, 209 nt
Filed under: uncultured prokaryote
Description: partial 16S ribosomal RNA
Rfam family: Bacterial small subunit ribosomal RNA
Source: RNAcentral
UACGAAGGUGGCAAGCGUUACUCGGAAUUACUAGGCGUAAAGGGCAGGUAGGUGGUUUAGUAAGUCUGUUGUUAAAGCUCCCGGCUUAACCGGGAGAGGUCAACGGAAACUACUAGGCUUGAGUAUAGGAGAGGGUACUGGAAUUCCUGGUGUAGCGGUGAAAUGCGCAGAUAUCAGGAGGAACACCGAUGGCGAAAGCAGGUACCUGG